CCUGCUGAGGGCUGUGUUGACACUGGAAGGGAGGUGCGUUCUCUCCAUAAACCAGAUUUUAAUUUCCUUUGAAUCCAGUGCCCUGGGUUUUCUGGCAGUCUGAAUCGGGUUUCCUCCUCUGCCCACCAUUUCAGGGAUUGUUUUUUCAAUCAAGACGAAUCCAUUAGCGGCAAUAAUUUUAGUACUGUUCUCAGGGCACGAUCGAGGGACAUUUAGAUGUCUCUAUUUCAUAAUCCAUAAAAAGACAAAUUUUAAAAAUUCUCUAAACCAGUGCUUGGGCGAGAAACGCCCGCUUUCCCAUCCCCCAAUCUGGCUCGCCGCAGGGAACCCACAUGAGAUCAUCAGUUCUGAUUGGUUGAUAAACCACGGAUGGGGCUUGCUGAUUGGGCAGUAUUUCUCUUUGUUCCUGAAAACCCAGGCAAGUUUCGUCCUAUACUUGGUUCUUUUCUCUUUUUCUUUCAAGUUAGAAUAUCAUCCCUCGCCUACCCGUAUCGAAUGAAUAAAGGAAAGUGAGAAAAUACCCCAUCGACCUGAAGGAGUUACGGCCUAGAGUACAUUCGGCCUGCAAAAUGGAAAUGACUGCGAAGUCCUCCCGCACCGCCGCUGGGAACACAAAGUACGCCAGCCCCAGCGGCUCAGAGCAGUUGCUUUGGCGCAACAGGCGAUGGACUCCGCCCAAUAACUAGAUUCCGACAGCCUCUUCACAUCCCUACUCCCGCUCCCUCAAACUGAUGUUAAGCCCUCAAACUCAUGUGGCUGAAGAGAAUGAACUAGAAGAAUGAGAUGUGUUUUUCUAAGAUAGUCAUGUGUAAGAGAGAAGCAAGUGUGCUGCGGUGGAUCUGGGGGAGGAUGAAUCAGAAAUUCUGUUGUGAAGUUUUGCAGUUUGUAUGAGAUUACCAAAUGGACGAGGGAGUAAUCCACUGGGGUCAAAUGCUGCUGAUAGAGUGAAGUGAGUAGAAACCUGAAAAUGGUCCCCUGGCUUAGCAGUAUGAAGAUUACUGGUAGCUUUGACAAGAGUAGUUUUGGGGAGGAAGGAGUUGAAUUGAGGUAGAGCUAUAAAUUAGGAAGUCACUGGUAUACAGAUGUCAUUUAAAGCCAGGAGACUGAGUCAGGUCACCAAGGGGUGACUGAGGUAGAGAAGAAUAUAAAGGGGAAAGAACUGAAUCCUGAGGCAUCCAACAUCAAGGGCAGGGGAUAUCUGGCCCUGCCCGCAUUUAUCAUAGAUAAAUCUGGAUAAUUAUUAGACCUCUUUGUGCUUCCAUUUACUUAUUUAAAGGUAAAGGGGUUGGAUUAGAGAAGUGUUUUUCAUGGCCUGUUAGGAAUAGAAUAGACUAGAAUAUAUUAGAGUAUGCCAUAUUGUAAAGGAGAGGAGGGCUUCCUGGAGUUUAGGUUUCAUGCAUACACAUUGUUGGGCAUAUGUAUGCAUGUUCUAGGUCGUGAAGACCAUGUUUCUUAUUGGGGUCACAGUCAAAGAAGCCUGAAAAACAGAGGUCAAGAUGCUCCCUGUGGUCUUUUACAAUUCCAAGAGUCUAUUGUUUUAAUAGAUGUUCUGACCACAGAAUUAUAUUAGAUCUAACAUCUAUUUGAAAGUGUGAGAGACUUGAAAUCAAGAUCUCAGAGAUCUUCCUGAGACAAGCAGGUAACAGUAGUGACACAAACUCCAUUCUUUUUUUUCAGUUGAGAUAACAUUGGUUUAUAACACCAUAUAGGUUUCAGGCAUCGAACGUUAUAAUUCAACACCUGUAUUUACUAGCAUGUUCACCACCAAAAGUCUAGAUUCUGUUCUUUACUAAUUGUUCUGAUUGUUCCUGCUAGAGGGGCUUUUUGAAAAGAAAGGAAAAAGGGAGGAGCAGAGAAAAACACAGGUUAUGUGACUGCCAGGACUGAUUGAAGAUUAGUGGGGCCUCCUUAAAAAAUUACAGUCUACAAAUAAUGGGUUUUGCUAAGUAAAUUGUACAAUAAUCACACCUAG
Long non-coding RNA from Equus quagga, 1972 nucleotides. RefSeq lists it as uncharacterized. The transcript has 4 exons. The record is from RefSeq and is a predicted model, not a curated record. Lineage: Eukaryota; Metazoa; Chordata; Mammalia; Perissodactyla; Equidae.